UACGUAGGGUGCGAGCGUUGUCCGGAAUUAUUGGGCGUAAAGAGCUUGUAGGCGGUCUGUCGCGUCUGCUGUGAAAAUCCGGGGCUCAACCCCGGACUUGCAGUGGGUACGGGCAGACUGGAGUGUGGUAGGGGAGACUGGAAUUCCUGGUGUAGCGGUGGAAUGCGCAGAUAUCAGGAGGAACACCGAUGGCGAAGGCAGGUCACUGGGCCGCAACUGACGCUGAGGAGCGAAAGCAUGGGGAGCGAACAGG
RNAcentral lists this ribosomal RNA (253 nucleotides) under uncultured bacterium. Its description in RNAcentral is "partial 16S ribosomal RNA". It matches the Rfam family "Bacterial small subunit ribosomal RNA", at positions 524 to 776 of the family's 1533-position model. The record is from RNAcentral.